ACAGAGGCCUCGAGCGUUAGGCGGAAUCACUGGGCUUAAAGCGUGUGUAGGUGGAUGCCUAAGUACCUUGUGAAAUCCCACGGCUUAACCGUGGAACUGCUGGGUGUACUGGGCGUCUUGAGCCACUCAGGGGCUACCGGAACAAGCGGUGGAGCGGUGAAAUGCGUAGAUAUCGUUUGGAACGCCAAUGGUGAAAACAGACUGCUGGGAGUGUGCUGACGCUGAGGCGCGAAAGCGUGGGGAGCGAACGGGA
Molecule: ribosomal RNA, 253 nt
Filed under: uncultured prokaryote
Description: partial 16S ribosomal RNA
Rfam family: Bacterial small subunit ribosomal RNA
Source: RNAcentral